UGCUUUCCGGAAUUGACGAGGAUGAGAACCUCCGGGGGCAAGAGGUUCGACUCGAGCGCAGCGAGAGAACGUUGCGUCAGCAACGGCCC
RNAcentral lists this small RNA (89 nucleotides) under Citrobacter freundii. Its description in RNAcentral is "partial RtT sRNA". It matches the Rfam family "RtT RNA", at positions 1 to 85 of the family's 130-position model. Rfam says of the family: This family represents a bacterial cis-regulatory element known as RtT RNA. The exact function of RtT is unknown although it is thought that it may be involved in changing the cellular response in relation to amino acid starvation. The record is from RNAcentral. Lineage: Bacteria; Pseudomonadati; Pseudomonadota; Gammaproteobacteria; Enterobacterales; Enterobacteriaceae.